RNAcentral lists this ribosomal RNA (440 nucleotides) under Botryosphaeria dothidea. Its description in RNAcentral is "eukaryotic LSU rRNA". The stretch from base 75 to 228 matches the Rfam family "5.8S ribosomal RNA". Lineage: Eukaryota; Fungi; Ascomycota; Dothideomycetes; Botryosphaeriales; Botryosphaeriaceae. The record is from RNAcentral.
GGCCAGCGCCCGCCAGAGGACCAUCAAACUCCAGUCAGUAAACGAUGCAGUCUGAAAAACAUUUAAUAAACUAAAACUUUCAACAACGGAUCUCUUGGUUCUGGCAUCGAUGAAGAACGCAGCGAAAUGCGAUAAGUAAUGUGAAUUGCAGAAUUCAGUGAAUCAUCGAAUCUUUGAACGCACAUUGCGCCCUUUGGUAUUCCGAAGGGCAUGCCUGUUCGAGCGUCAUUACAACCCUCAAGCUCUGCUUGGUAUUGGGCACCGUCCUUUGCGGGCGCGCCUCAAAGACCUCGGCGGUGGCGUCUUGCCUCAAGCGUAGUAGAACAUACAUCUCGCUUCGGAGCGCAGGGCGUCGCCCGCCGGUCGAACCUUCUGAACUUUUCUCAAGGUUGACCUCGGAUCAUGUAGGGAUACCCGCUGAACUUAAGCAUAUCAAUAGG